UUUACUCCUCAACUUGCAAACAAAUCUUCACCAGCGUUCCUUGAACUAAAGAACAAAGUGACCACAGCGCUCGACAUGGUCUAUUCAGAACAAUAUGGAUCCAGCUUCAAUCGUACUGUCAUCAACAGCUUCAGUCAAGGAUCCGUUGAGGUAGA
Molecule: long non-coding RNA, 155 nt
Organism: Gymnodraco acuticeps
Lineage: Eukaryota; Metazoa; Chordata; Actinopteri; Perciformes; Bathydraconidae
Exons: 3
Source: RefSeq, a predicted model, not a curated record